AUCUUUGGUCAAUGCUUGUUGAUUAUCUCAUUUGAUUUCCAUUAAUGCACUUUAUUAUUCAUCUUCUUCUUCUUCUUCUUCUUCUUCUUCUUUUUUGAUCAAUGAGUUAAAGAUUGAUGGUUAGCCUUGAUACAUGGGAGGUUUAACCUUCCUUGAUUCAAAUCUAAUUCAACUUGAUCAUGGAUCAAGUGAAUGGCUUUGCAUUAAGGAUAGGUU
This 216-nucleotide long non-coding RNA is filed under the name Lathyrus oleraceus (garden pea). RNAcentral's name for it is "Pisum sativum (pea) long non-coding RNA (PSAT_LNC033811)". Lineage: Eukaryota; Viridiplantae; Streptophyta; Magnoliopsida; Fabales; Fabaceae. The record is from RNAcentral.